Molecule: microRNA precursor, 97 nt
Filed under: Nicotiana sylvestris (wood tobacco)
Lineage: Eukaryota; Viridiplantae; Streptophyta; Magnoliopsida; Solanales; Solanaceae
Description: MIR6152 microRNA precursor family
Rfam family: MIR6152 microRNA precursor family
Source: Rfam by way of RNAcentral
UGGACAGAUUAUUGUAUUCGACUGUAGUCACGACGUGAAAUAGGGGAUUACACAGUUUUUAAAACGGAAAGUGAAUCAAUUAACAUAAUAGACUCCU